This 73-nucleotide transfer RNA is filed under the name archaeon GW2011_AR10. RNAcentral's name for it is "tRNA-Arg". It matches the Rfam family "tRNA". Rfam says of the family: Transfer RNA (tRNA) molecules are approximately 80 nucleotides in length. Their secondary structure includes four short double-helical elements and three loops (D, anti-codon, and T loops). The record is from RNAcentral.
GCCGGUGUAGCUCAGCGGUUAGAGCGCUUGAUUCCUGAUCAAGUGGCCGAGAGUUCAAAUCUCUCCACCGGCA